GACGCUGGCGGCGUGCUUAAUACAUGCAAGUCAACUUGACUUUAGAUAGCAAUAUCGAAAGUAGGGUGGCGCACGGGUGCGUAACGCGUAGGUAAUCUGCCCUGAGGUCUGACAUAACCCGUCGAAAGGCGGGCUAACAUCAGAUGAUAUAUAGUCACGACAUCGUGGAAAUAUCAAAUCUUCGGAGCCUUGGGAUGAGCCUGCGUCUGAUUAGGUAGUUGGCGGAGUAAUAGCCCACCAAGCCUACGAUCAGUAGCUGGGUCUGAGAGGAUGAUCAGCCACACUGGAACUGAGACACGGUCCAGACUCCUACGGGAGGCAGCAGUAAGGAAUAUUGCUCAAUGGGGGAAACCCUGAAGCAGCAACGCCGCGUGAAGGAUGAAAUACUUUUGUAUGUAAACUUCUGUAAGAUGGGAAAAAUAUUCUCCUCGGGAGAAUUGAUUGUACCAUCAGAGUAAGCCCCGGCUAACUACAUG
Molecule: ribosomal RNA, 476 nt
Filed under: uncultured bacterium
Lineage: Bacteria
Description: bacterial SSU rRNA
Rfam family: Bacterial small subunit ribosomal RNA
Source: RNAcentral